This 468-nucleotide ribosomal RNA is filed under the name uncultured bacterium. Its description in RNAcentral is "partial 16S ribosomal RNA". It matches the Rfam family "Bacterial small subunit ribosomal RNA", at positions 28 to 507 of the family's 1533-position model. The record is from RNAcentral.
GACGAACGCUGGCGGCGUGCUUAACACAUGCAAGUCGAACGGAAAGGCCCUGCUUUUGUGGGGUGCUCGAGUGGCGAACGGGUGAGUAACACGUGAGUAACCUGCCCUUGACUUUGGGAUAACUUCAGGAAACUGGGGCUAAUACCGGAUAGGAGCUCCUGCUGCAUGGUGGGGGUUGGAACGUUUCGGCGGUUGGGGAUAGACUCGCGGCUUAUCAGCUUGUUGGUGGGGUAGUGGCUUACCAAGGCUUUGGCGGGUAGCCGGCCUGAGAGGGUGACCGGCCACAUUGGGACUGAGAUACGGCCCAGACUCCUACGGGAGGCAGCAGUGGGGAAUAUUGCACAAUGGGCGGAAGCCUGAUGCAGCAACGCCGCGUGCGGGAUGACGGCCUUCUGGUUGUAAACCGCUUUCGCCUGUGACGAAGCGUGAGUGACGGUAAUGGGUAAAGAAGCACCGGCUAACUACGUG